RNAcentral lists this ribosomal RNA (253 nucleotides) under uncultured bacterium. RNAcentral describes it as "partial 16S ribosomal RNA". It matches the Rfam family "Bacterial small subunit ribosomal RNA", at positions 524 to 776 of the family's 1533-position model. The record is from RNAcentral.
UACGUAGGGUGCAAGCGUUGUCCGGAAUUAUUGGGCGUAAAGAGCUCGUAGGCGGUCUGUCGCGUCGGCUGUGAAACCCCGAGGCUCAACCUCGGGCCUGCAGUCGAUACGGGCAGACUAGAGUUCGGUAGGGGAGACUGGAAUUCCUGGUGUAGCGGUGAAAUGCGCAGAUAUCAGGAGGAACACCGGUGGCGAAGGCGGGUCUCUGGGCCGAAACUGACGCUGAGGCACGAAAGCGUGGGGAGCAAACAGG